Symphalangus syndactylus (siamang) is the source of this 339-nucleotide long non-coding RNA. RefSeq lists it as uncharacterized. The record is from RefSeq and is a predicted model, not a curated record. NCBI's taxonomy places the organism in Eukaryota, Metazoa, Chordata, Mammalia, Primates, Hylobatidae.
AAACAACGAUGUUUGAGAAAGAUUCUUACACUUGUCAAUAUGUGCAACAGUUUCUCCACUGUAGUCAUGUUCUGUGAAAGGAUGUGCACAUAUUCAGCUUUACAAGAUAAUACCAGAGUUCUAAGGUGAGUGUUAACCUUGGAAUCCAUAGCUUCAGGGGCAGGGAGUAUGGGGACCAGUUAAAGAAGGAAUGGAUCAGAGAAAGCAACUUGGUGAGAUAAUACCUCCUAUCACAGCACCAGAACCUUUGAACACAUCAGUGUCAGACCUGCAGCUUUGUUCAUAAUUGUCAAAACUUGGAAGCAACCAUGAUGCCGAUAUCCUUCAGCAGGUGACCAA